UACGUAGGGUGCGAGCGUUAAUCGGAAUUACUGGGCGUAAAGCGUGCGCAGGCGGUUUGUUAAGACAGGUGUGAAAUCCCCGGGCUUAACCUGGGAAUGGCGCUUGUUACUGGCAGGCUAGAGUGUGUCAGAGGGAGGUAGAAUUCCACGUGUAGCAGUGAAAUGCGUAGAGAUGUGGAGGAAUACCGAUGGCGAAGGCAGCCCCCUGGGAUAACACUGACGCUCAUGCACGAAAGCGUGGGGAGCAAACAGG
This 253-nucleotide ribosomal RNA is filed under the name uncultured bacterium. RNAcentral's name for it is "partial 16S ribosomal RNA". It matches the Rfam family "Bacterial small subunit ribosomal RNA", at positions 524 to 776 of the family's 1533-position model. The record is from RNAcentral.